This 672-nucleotide ribosomal RNA is filed under the name uncultured bacterium. RNAcentral's name for it is "bacterial SSU rRNA". It matches the Rfam family "Bacterial small subunit ribosomal RNA", at positions 28 to 696 of the family's 1533-position model. The record is from RNAcentral.
GAUGAACGCUAGCUACAGGCUUAACACAUGCAAGUCGAGGGGCAGCAUAACGAAAGCUUGCUUUUGUUGAUGGCGACCGGCGCACGGGUGAGUAACGCGUAUCCAACCUUCCCUAUAGUAGAGGAUAGCCCGGCGAAAGUCGGAUUAAUACUCUAUGUUAUUCAACGAGGACAUCUGAAAUGAAUCAAAGGUUUACCGCUAUAGGACGGGGACGCGUCUGAUUAGGUUGUUGUUGGGGUAACGGCCCACCAGGCGCACGAUCAGUAGGGGUUCUGAGAGGAAGGUCCCCCACAUUGGAACUGAGACACGGUCCAUACUCCUACGGGAGGCAGCAGUGAGGAAUAUUGGUCAAUGGACGUAAGUCUGAACCAGCCAAGUAGCGUGCAGGAUGACGGCCCUAUGGGUUGUAAACUGCUUUUAUACAGGGAUAAAGUGAGCCACGUGUGGCUUUUUGUAGGUACUGUAUGAAUAAGGACCGGCUAAUUUCCGUGCCAGCAGCCCGCGGUAAUACGGAAGGUCCGGGCGUUAUCCGGGAUUUAUUGGGUUUAAGGGAGCGCAGCGGUAGCUAGCCGUGACGUGAAAUGUAGCCGCUCACGGCCUGAACUGCUCCCGACUGGUUUCUUGGAAGUGGUACGACUCACACGGAAUUCUCUGCGGUGUAACACGGCGGUG